CUUUCCUUUCCUUUCUCCAUCUUUUCAUCUCUCCCUUCCUUUCUUCCUCCCUCCAUUCCUCCCUUCCCUUUUUUCCAUUCAUCCUUCCUCCUCUCUCUGUCUCUAUUUAUUUAUUUAUUUGGUUUGAACCCAGGGGUGCUGAACCACUGAGCCAUAUUCCCAGCCCUUUUUAUAUAUUUUAUUAGAGACAGGGUCUCUCUGAGUUGCUAAGUGCCUUGCUAAGUUGCUGAGAUUGGCUUUGAACUUGCGAUCCUCCUGUCUCAGCCUCCCAAGCUACUGGGAUUACAGGUGUGCACCACCAUGCCGGGCCAUCCAUCCUUCUCUAGGUUAUAUCAUAUCUCAUUCUCUCCCUAGGCUUGUUGUGGCUAUUUCAAGGAGAGCACAUCUUCUGUCAUUCUAUUGAAUCUACCAUUUAGAGCUGUGAUAAUUCCCAGAAACUUUAAGAUGAUGUCCAUUUCUUUUAUUCUCUAACUUUUUUUCAGAAGAUUCAUGACUUAACUAAACAAAUGAUGGCCAAUAUAUACAGUGUGUGGAUUGCCUGUGCCUAUUCUCCGCACUCUUGGGCAUGGGUUGAAUCCCCUUUCUAUUUCAUCAGGUAUAUAUCAGGUUCAUUUACAUUAGGGGCUGAACUAUAUUCCAGGGUCUAGCAAUUCUUCAUCUAGUUUGGUCUGCUGGCAUGAGAGUACAUCUUUAUGCUUGUCUUUGGUGUUUAUGACUCCUGGGAGGCAGUGUGCCCUUCUCUCCAGCUUUAUUCUUGGAUUUUUCAAGUGGCACACCUGGGGAUGAAACUGCCUAAGCUACAGAGGGAUAGCUGAGUGGAACCAGCCUUGCAUCCCUGAAGCAGGGCAGAGGGGGAGCUGAGAGCAAGCUUGCUCAGUUCUCUAUACCGUGGACUAUUUCUGUCAUUCAAAUUCUACCAGAUUAAUCAGUGGGAAGUCUUUUCACAUUCUGCCAGUACUCCUACAUUGUUGGCCUUGUGAAUUUUUAUCUUGAAUGCUAAUAAAAUGGCAGUCAGAGUCUGAAGAGCUAAAAUUGAAGCCAGUUACCAUUUCUUGCUUUUAUUUAAAAAAUUUGGGUGG
Molecule: long non-coding RNA, 1079 nt
Filed under: Marmota monax (woodchuck)
Lineage: Eukaryota; Metazoa; Chordata; Mammalia; Rodentia; Sciuridae
Source: RNAcentral